Molecule: ribosomal RNA, 497 nt
Filed under: uncultured bacterium
Lineage: Bacteria
Description: partial 16S ribosomal RNA
Rfam family: Bacterial small subunit ribosomal RNA
Source: RNAcentral
GAUGAACGCUGGCGGCGUGCCUAAUACAUGCAAGUCGAGCGAACAGACGAGGAGCUUGCUCCUCUGACGUUAGCGGCGGAUGGGUGAGUAACACGUGGAUAAACUACCUAUAAUACUUGGAUAACUUCGGGAAACCGGCUCUAAUACCGGGUAAUAUAUUGCACCGUAUGGUUCAAUAGUGAAAGAUGGUUUUGCUGUCACUUAUAGAUGGAUCCGAGCCGCAUUAGCUAGUUCGUAAGGUAACUGCUUACCAAGGCAACGAUGCGUAGCCGACCUGAGAGAGUGAUGGGCCACACUGGAACUGAGAAACGGUCCAGACUCCUACGGGAGGCAGCAGUAGGGAAUCUUCCGCAAGGGGAGAAAGCCUGACGUAACAACGCCGCGUGAGAGAUGAAGGUCGUCCGAUCGUAAAACUCUGUUAUUAGGGAAGAACAAAUGUGUAAGUAAAUAUGCACGUCUUAACGGUACCUAAUCAGAAAGCCACGGCUAACUACGUG